AGCAGCCGCGGUAAUUCCAGCUCCAAUAGCGUAUAUUAAAGUUGUUGCAGUUAAAAAGCUCGUAGUUGAAUUUCGGGAUCAAUUAAUCGGUCGUGCCUCUGGUACGUACUGGUUUUAUUGGUUCCUCCCCUCUGACGAAACACGAUGUCAUUAAUUUGGUGUCGUGGAGAAUCAGGACUGUUACCUUGAAAAAAUUAGAGUGUUUAUAGCAGGCUAACGCUUGAAUACAUUAGCAUGGAAUAAUGAAAUAGGACGUUCGACCCUAUUUUGUUGGUUUCUAGGAUCGACGUAAUGACUAAUAGGGAUAGUUGGGGGCAUUAGUAUUCAAUUGUCAGAGGUGAAAUUCUUGGAUUUAUUGAAGACUAACUACUGCGAAAGCAUUUGCCAAGGAUGUUUUCAUUAAUCAAGAACGAAAGUUAGGGGAUCGAAGACGAUCAGAUACCGUCGUAGUCUUAACCAUAAACUAUGCCGACUAGGGAUCGGAUGAUGUUAAUUUUUAAUGACUCAUUCGGCGCCUUAC
Molecule: ribosomal RNA, 520 nt
Filed under: uncultured Glomus
Lineage: Eukaryota; Fungi; Glomeromycota; Glomeromycetes; Glomerales; Glomeraceae
Description: SSU rRNA
Rfam family: Eukaryotic small subunit ribosomal RNA
Source: RNAcentral